UUGCAGGAAGAACUCCACAACAGGAAACAGCUUCAAAGUAUAUUUGUACCCAGUACUGCUGAGAGUACCUUCACAACGCUGACUUUACACAACUUGAGUCACACGACCAACUAUUCCACACUGAAUAUUACAGAACAGGACUAAACAUCAAAUGAGGCAACGUCCACGGGGUCCUGUUACAAAUGUGACCACUAGUAAGCCUUUAGGUUCCAGUUCCUUCGUCCUCUGAGGGACAACCUGAGUUAAUGAGAGAGCACAAAGGAUACAAGAGCUGGCAGACUUACUUGCUAUGUCUUUGGGGAAUACAAAGGUUUGUUUUAAUGAACAUGUAUUGAAUGAUUCAAUGCUGAACUGAAACAGUAAGCACAGUGAACUCAGCCUAUCUAGACACCUACCUGCCUUGAUAUAUAUAUCAAUUUUAAACACCUGUCAUCCAGAGGUUAGUUUGUAAGAGAGAAAAACUAUUUAAGACACUUAGUUGCAAAGAUCUGGAUUGCUGUUUCAUCCAAGGUCAUAAGCAAAAAUACUCUUUUUCACUCCUGUUUUUGAAGAAUUUGGGCAUAAUUUACACACAGUUUUAGAGGUCUGGUAGAAUGUCCCAGAAGACACAGUGAUGAUAUCACAGCAAUAUGAUCACUUGAAAUAAUUAAACUAUCUCAAGAGCAUUAAGUCCAUCCUCAUUCCAUACUAGAGAAUGCAAAAGUAUACAGAUGUAGAAGUGUGGUUUGGGAGAAGCAGCUUCCUAAAAACAUACCUGAAAAUGAACAAACUACUCCAAUUCAUGUGUACCUUUCUCAGAGAUUGUCAAGCCCUAGGAUUUUUACAGCAACCUGUUUGAAAGAACCCACGUGACUGAUUUCAGUAUGUUAUACCCUGUUAUUGACUGUUUUCCACAUAUUCUUACCAAUCUCUACCAGCAACUUAAUUUUGCAGUUGUUUCAGCUCCCAACCUCACAGAAAAUUGUAAAGUUAGGUGUAUCUUUAGCACUAUUAAUUCAUCUGCAUCCUACUUUCCCUGCCACAUGUGAGAAGCUGUGUUGCCAUUCUGCUUGCUCUUCCACCAGUCAUCCAUUUCUCUAAUUUUGUACCUUCAGACAAAGACAAAUAACACAGGAAGGAGACUCUCAUCAACUAUGUGAUAAUUAAUCUUCAUAAAAUUGUUAAACAAUGAAAUUCCUAGCUCAUGCAACAGUUCAGCAUCUGCCAAAAUAAGUGUCACUUUCAAAAAGUGAUGGGAAAAUAACAUAUCAUAGGCUUAGUUACAGUUUUACUGAGGUUGGGUUUAGUUGCAGUAAGUAAUGCUAGUCUACUGUCAAGGAGUUUAUUGGCAUACACAUGCUGCUGAGGGUGUCAGACCCAGCAAAAAGGAACAGUUCCAUUUGUUGUUUCCUUCCACUUAAUGAAUCAUGCAAAGCUGACUUUCUGGUUUUGUUAUUCACCCAUAAAUGUAUUUUUAGAAAUUAACUAACCAGAUACUUUUUACAGCUAUUGAAAGUGAAGAGAAGUAACUUUCUCCCCAGGCAAGGAGGGAGCUGCUGAGGAGCAAGGGUUGUACAGCCAGAGGGAUGAGCACACAGAGCACACUGCUGAGUCCAGACAGAAGGAGGUUGCAAGAACCAAAAUAUUAAGUUUUAAUAAUUUGAGCUGUGAUGACAGAUAGGUCAUACCUUUGAGAUAUUAGCUCAACAGAGGUCAUACUAGGAAUUAUAAAGGUCCAUCUCAACAAUGAUGACUGAGUUAUCACCCUGCAUAAAAGACAGUGACAACUGUUGUCUGCAGUGAUUUAGAAAAAUGCAGAAUUAUUUAAAUGCUCGGAUUAUUUCAUCAUGAACUUGUAUAUUCUGCAUUUGUUACAUGAAAGAAAUUUGCAGAUCAGUAAAUUACAUCCUCUAGAACUGUACCUCUAUGUGCCAUCAUUUUCACAAGGUGUCCUAACAAUUUUCCAGUGCUCUUCAUUAAUUACUGUUUUUAAUCAAAUUAACAUGCUAAUGAUUUUUUGGAACAUCUAACCAGAAAUUCCCAGGGCUAGACUGCAAGACAACAAUUCUAUUCUCCUGCCAGAAAACAGUAUGAACUGUAUGUGCAGUGAUUUGUUGCCACCACCUGCACACCCUCUAGAGGUAGGGAAGGCAGCCCUCAGCUGGAAAUUAAUCCACAGAUCCAUACUUGGAACAGAUAACCUGCCAAGGCCACAUAUCCAUUAAAGUAUGCCUCACGUUUGAAGACAAGGCUGAAAGACAGAACUUUAUUACUGAGCCUUCUCAAAAUACUGACUAGAGCAGAUACCCUGUGGGGUCAUAAGGCAUGACUGGGAUACACGCUGCCCUGUGAUGAAGGCAGUCACUGGUUCACUGCAGCUAAAUAUAGACUGGGAGAUGAAUGGGCCUCUCUAAUAUACUGAUCCCAUUUCCAAAACCAAAAUACACUUCAGAUCUCUUGGUCAGUCAAGAGAUCUCUCUUCUGCAAAUUCCUUCCAAAUCUUUAUAACUGUUCACAUUUUCAGCCAGGAUAAUUUGCAUUGAAAUCUUCCUUCAUAGAGAUUUUAUACUUAAGACAGAGAAGAAUACAAUUUUGUCAUGGAUUCAUAAGCUUGAAAAACACCAUCAAAAUUUCAUAAAAUCAUAUUUCUUAAAUAAAUGAGUUCUCUGCUAGUAAAUGUUAUCACUCAGGUAGAGAUCAUAUAUGAAUUGUCACUGUUUUAUCUUAACAUACCUGAGUUCUCAGUCACUAUCCAUUACAGUAUUUAACUCCUAAAGUUUGUGAUACAGGCAAGCUAAAAAAAUGCCAUGAACUUUCAUUGUGGUGAGAUAAUUUACAGAUAUGGACAUAUGAAAAAUCCUGGAGAGCAGGAUCAUACAAAGGAUUUUUCCAAGUAAAUACUUUCCUGCUGACACUUACUGGUGUGAUAUUGUGCUCAGUUCAGUACAGUUACUUCAGUUCCAGCUUUCCCAUUCAUGAACAUCAGCAAUAACAACAUUUAAUCUAAUAUUAAUAUACUUUUAGAUGCCUUUUAUAUUUCCUGUGUAUUAUUAACUCAGUUAUGGUUUCAAGGAAAAAUUCCCUGGACAAGAGUAAGACUGACUGAAUCCCCUUCUGCAGAAAAAGUCCCUGAGGACUGCAUUUCUCACCGAGUUUCUGAAUUCCAGAGGGUAUUUCAGAUGCAUCUCCCCAGGUUUUCCUCCAAGUGUAGAUACAGCCAUGCUGGAGGUCAGACACAGGACUGCAUCUUGCUGUCCAGCUGCAGCCCUUCCCAUGAAAUGACCUGUAAGAGCAGCUAAAAAGUGACCUCAGCUCCAGCAAAGAGUGGACCCAAAUGGGAAUAAACCAGCUGAGGCUCAGCUUCAGCAAGAUUUACAUGAAUAUUUACCAAAGGAAAAGCAAUCAGGAACACAAUCAGGUGGUGAGCAAAACUUUCAUGUCAUGAUAUUUCCUCAGAUCUGCAUACAGGGUCAAGACCUCGAUGGAAGAAAAAUGUAAAGGUCAAUACUAUGUUUUAUUUACAUAUAAAUCCAGUAAAUUGACUCAUACUAUCUCUUCAGCUUUCUCGCUACAGAAAACAGGUAGGAAGGGGAGGGGGGGGAUGAAUAUUAAAAAUAUAUUAUUAAUAGAAGACAAGCACAUUUCUAACCUGAAAGUAAUAUAUAGUAUCAGUCAAGUGCUGUUACAGUCAAAUAGACAUUCAUAAAUUCUCCCUUCCCUCAAUGAUUGUGUUCCCACCUAGAUAACUUCUUCUGCCUCUGCAGUGCCACAAAUGCUCUCACCAUAACUCUCCUCAUGUAAUAUCUCAAACAGCAAAAUCUCAUGCAGAGUGUCCACAUAUAACAUGGGAGCAUUGAAGAUUUCAGAUUAGUCCUUCCUCUCUCCAUGGGAGAAUUUCUCAAGUAAAACUUAGGAAGCUUUAUAAAAUCUCUGUAAUUCAGAGGAGUUUUUGCCAUCAUUCAUGAAGGAAAGAUUAUCAAUGUUGAGUUUGAUGGCUUCUAGUAAUUACUCUGUAAAUACCUAAAUCUAUUAAUAACACCACUAAAACUAAUGUCCACAAGAAUUUUCAGGACGAAAGUCAAAAUUCCUUCCAAGAGUAUUUGUAACUCAGGACCAUCAUCUGUCUCAUUGUAGCCAACAAUAAUCUCUCAACUCCAACACCCCACCCAGCAAACAAAUUAUUUUGCAAAGAAAAAUCACAAGUUUAGUCAGCAGUCAGUGUGACCUUUCAGGAAGGAUAACUCCCUUCCAGACAGUACCUCCAUCCACUAAAUGAAAUCUCUAUUUUCCAAGCUUAAGGGGAAAGAAAUACGUCUGUUUGAGCAAAUUGUAUUAUAUAAAAAUUUACAAUGCCCUCAGAUAUUAGCAAAGCUGUUUGUCUUUUGCUCUAAAUUCUGCUUCAUCUUCAGUCUGCAGAUGUGGUUGGGACAUAUCAAAGAGAGAAACAUGCACACAUUCAUCAACCAAAAGCUGAAUAAGUCACUUGAGGGCAUGCACACUUACUGUAACUAACUAUAGCUGCACCUGAAGUGUAAUGGAACCUCCUUGAAGAAGAAGCAUUAUAUUAACAUUCCUAGUAAGUGUGGCCAAAGGCAUGAGAAAGGCCUGUUGAAGUGAGGUGGGGGCUGGUAUCUCCUUCCAAGUAACAAGCAAUAGGGCAAGAGGAAGCGGCCUCAAGAUGUGCCAGGGGAGGUUUAGAUUUGAUGUUAGGAAAAAUUUCUUCACAGAAAGGACUGUCAAGCAUUGGAGCAGGCUGCUCAGGGAAGUUAUUCACUUCCUAUCCCUAUAGGCAUUUAAAAGAACUGUGGUAGACACAGAACUCAGGGAUGUGGUUCACUGGUGGAUUUAGCAGUGUUAGAUUUACAAUUGGACUCUAUGAUCUUAAACACCUUUCCCAACCUGAAUGAGUCUGUGAUUUGAUGCUCCUAAAUUCUCAGAACUACAUUCAGAAAAGUCUGAAGGACAGGUCUAGGAAAAACCCUCCCACUGCCAGCAUAAGCUCUUCCUUUUUCGCUACCUGUUGCACAGAUACCUGCAAGCAGCUCGUUCCCACACGGGUUUACAUUUCCUGCCAUCUAUACAGAUCCUUCUGCACAGAGCUGCAAACACCAAGACUGUGCUCCUUCCUGUGGCAAUGAUUCUUCUGGUACAUGUGAAUAAACCUGACUCUACAGAUAGAUAUCAACUGCAGACAGAUGUAAACAGAAAAAGAGACUUCUUUCCUCCUAAUGAAUUUAGAGACUUCUUCUGACCUCAGUCAGCAUAACUUUCUUGGAUGUAAAAGAGUUUUUCAAGCUGAUGAAUUCACUGUGUGAUUUUUCUGGAAAUCUCAUUUUCUCUGGUGCUGAUGGGAAGAGGACAUCACCUGCUUACCAGCCUGGCAGUAGUCUGGAUAUCACACCAGCCUCAUCAAGCCAGCUUCAACUGAUCCAUCACCUUCAUCUCUCCUGUGACAGGGCAGUUCCACUGUUAAAAAGAUGCACUUACAGAGACUUUUCUCACAGAGAGAGUGGCUACAUUUUCAAACUCACUGCCAAGGAUCAGUGGCCCUCCAUCUCCAUCACUCACAGAAACACAUCCAAAGUUUUCAUCUUAAUUUUCCCACAAAAGACCCUCUUAGGUACGUCAGGACUCUCACCCAUAGUCAGAAAGGCACAGCAGUAAGUUUUAAGUGCACUCCUGUCACGAGAGCUUCAAGGGGAAAGAUUUGUGCAUUUACUUCUAGAUACCUCAGUUAUGGAUGAGCUUAGGCCACAUAAAGGAAUUAAAUGUAAUGCCCUAGGAGAAGUUAGAUGCUGUUUCUGACUGAAUGACUUCAAGAGUGUGUGCAAGUGUUCUAAUAUACGAGAAAAGUGAAAUAGGAAGUAUCUGAAUGUGUUCAGUAGCAUUUUUUUUCUCAAAGCAUAAAGUUUUUAUUCUCUUGGUUUGACCAUAUUUGACUUCUGACACCAGCCUGUUCCUUCUAUAUGAUAUCAGGUAUGACUGCAAUAAAAGAAUUAAAAUUCUACAGAAAUCUCCAAAGGCAUUAAUAUGUUUGCUUGGUCAAACUAUGGAGUCUCAAAGCAAGAAGGAAGCCAAGACAAACGGAAUAUAUUGCUUAAAUCAAGAUGUGGGCAGGUACUGAACUUCCUUUCUUCAUUAUUUCUAAUCAGUUUAAGAGCAUGAUUCAUUUGUUAAACUUCAUUCUGUACAAGUGGGGAGAAAAAAAAGUGAAUUACCCAUUGAAUGCACAAUUGAAUAAUGAAAGGAAGCUGCAGGUACUUCAUGCUUUUGAAAAUUAUUCACUCUUCAAGAAAAUGCGUAGAGACAUAUUUAUGUCCAUCUCUGUUAAGGAAAACACACACAUUUAUGUCUGAAGAUUUUCUUGGAUGAAGUCCAAAGAAAAAAUUUCUGAUAGACCUGGCUGGAGGACUGUGCUCACCUCUGCAUCACUAGACCAGACUAUAUAUAUUAAGAAAUAAUCACAUAGUCUUUCAAGCAGAAGACACUGUCUGAGACUACACUUCAGUGCCCCAAAUGAUGAACGUUUUGCUGAGCUUCCUGUAACGCAAUUACACUGCAGCUCAGAUAGCUAUCACAAGAUAAACCUAAUACUCAACAGAAAAUUGAAAAUAUUUCUUGAUUAGGUGCAACUGACCUAUAAGACAGACUUUGAACUUUUAAUUAAUAUCUUUAAAGGAAGGAGGGUUUUGCACAUGAAAGGGCAACUCCUUAAAAUUAUUUUGCAAUUGAUAAACUGAGCAGUUCAAGAAUUUUCUACCUUAAAUGACCUGUGGUGGCAAUCACUUGGGUAAUCUACAUCUGCUGUCUUAUAGGAAGUCUGCAAAAACCAACCUACAAAAAGAAAUAAAAAAUCUUGCAGAGAAAACAAGGAGAAAAAACAAUUGCAAGUUCCCCCAAAUUCAGUAUAUUUUAUAUAAGACAUGUUUACAAGUGACUCUUGAUGCACAAGCAUUAACUUAAAAAGCCAAGAAUGCAUGCUCUAUUAUGUUAAUGUUUUGAGAAAUGGUAUGGGUGUUAAUGUUAAUGAGAAAAAGCAAUAUUUAUUGUGAAAUAAAAACAUCUGCCUCAUUAGGAAUAACAGAGUAAAUUACA
Molecule: long non-coding RNA, 7074 nt
Organism: Onychostruthus taczanowskii (white-rumped snowfinch)
Lineage: Eukaryota; Metazoa; Chordata; Aves; Passeriformes; Passeridae
Exons: 3
Source: RefSeq, a predicted model, not a curated record